AUUGAACGCUGGCGGCAGGCUUAACACAUGCAAGUCGAGCGGGGAAGUAUAGCUUGCUAUACGACCUAGCGGCGGACGGGUGAGUAAUGCUUAGGAAUCUGCCUAUUAGUGGGGGACAACAUUCCGAAAGGAAUGCUAAUACCGCAUACGCCCUACGGGGGAAAGCAGGGGAUCUUCGGACCUUGCGCUAAUAGAUGAGCCUAAGUCAGAUUAGCUAGUUGGUGGGGUAAAGGCCUACCAAGGCGACGAUCUGUAGCGGGUCUGAGAGGAUGAUCCGCCACACUGGGACUGAGACACGGCCCAGACUCCUACGGGAGGCAGCAGUGGGGAAUAUUGGACAAUGGGCGAAAGCCUGAUCCAGCCAUGCCGCGUGUGUGAAGAAGGCCUUUUGGUUGUAAAGCACUUUAAGCGAGGAGGAGGCUACCGAGAUUAAUACUCUUGGAUAGUGGACGUUACUCGCAGA
Molecule: ribosomal RNA, 463 nt
Filed under: uncultured bacterium
Lineage: Bacteria
Description: bacterial SSU rRNA
Rfam family: Bacterial small subunit ribosomal RNA
Source: RNAcentral